CCUACGGGAGGCAGCAGUGGGGAAGAGUGCACAAUGGGGGAAACCCUGAUGCAGCAACGCCGCGUGAGUGAAGAAGGAUGUCGGUAGGUAAAGCUCUAUCAGCAGGGAAGAAGAGGACGGUACCUGAGGAAGAAGCCCCGGCUAACGACGUGCCCGCAGCCGCGGUAAUACGUAGGGGGCAAGCGUUAUCCGGAGUUACUGGGUGUAAAGGGAGCGCAGACGGCAGUGCCAGUCUGGAUUGAAAGCCCGGGGCCCCACCCCGGAACUUCUCUGUAAACUGUGCGGCUAGAGUACUGGAGGGUCCGCCUGCAUUCCUCUUGUAGCGGUGACAUGCGUAGCU
This 340-nucleotide ribosomal RNA is filed under the name uncultured bacterium. Its description in RNAcentral is "partial 16S ribosomal RNA". It matches the Rfam family "Bacterial small subunit ribosomal RNA", at positions 338 to 695 of the family's 1533-position model. The record is from RNAcentral.